CGGAGGAUCCAAGCGUUAUCCGGAAUCAUUGGGUUUAAAGGGUCCGUAGGCGGUUUUAUAAGUCAGUGGUGAAAUCCGGUAGCUCAACUAUCGAACUGCCAUUGAUACUGUAGAACUUGAAUUAUUGUGAAGUAACUAGAAUAUGUAGUGUAGCGGUGAAAUGCUUAGAUAUUACAUGGAAUACCAAUUGCGAAGGCAGGUUACUAACAAUACAUUGACGCUGAUGGACGAAAGCGUGGGGAGCGAACAGGAUUAGAUACCCUGGUAGUCCACGCCGUAAACGAUGGAUACUAGCUGUUCGAGAGCAAUCUUGAGUGGCUAAGCGAAAGUGAUAAGUAUCCCACCUGGGGAGUACGAACGCAAGUUUUG
Molecule: ribosomal RNA, 369 nt
Filed under: uncultured organism
Description: bacterial SSU rRNA
Rfam family: Bacterial small subunit ribosomal RNA
Source: RNAcentral